GAUGAACGCUGGCGGCGUGCCUAAUACAUGCAAGUCGAGCGAACGGACGAGAAGCUUGCUUCUCUGAUGUUAGCGGCGGACGGGUGAGUAACACGUGGAUAACCUACCUAUCAUACUGGGAUAACUUCGGGAAACCGGAUCUAAUACCGGAUAAUAUUUUGAACCGCAUGGUUCAAAAGUGAAAGACGGUCUUGCUGUCACUUAUAGAUGGAUCCGCGCUGCAUUAGCUAGUUGGUAAGGUAACGGCUUACCAAGGCAACGAUGCAUAGCCGAACUGAGAGGGUGAUCGGCCACACUGGAACUGAGACACGGUCAAGACUCCUACGGGAGGCAGCAGUAGGGAAUCUUACGCAAUGGGCGAAAGCCUGACGGAGCAACGCCGCGUGAGUGAUGAAGGUCUUCGGAUCGUAAAACUCUGUUAUUAGGGAAGAACAUAUGUGUAAGUAACUGUGCACAUCUUGACGGUAACUAAUCAGAAAGCCACGGCUAACUACGUG
This 497-nucleotide ribosomal RNA is filed under the name uncultured bacterium. Its description in RNAcentral is "partial 16S ribosomal RNA". It matches the Rfam family "Bacterial small subunit ribosomal RNA", at positions 28 to 507 of the family's 1533-position model. The record is from RNAcentral.